GGGGAAUAUUGGACAAUGGGCGAAAGCCUGAUCCAGCCAUGCCGCGUGUGUGAAGAAGGUCUUCGGAUUGUAAAGCACUUUAAGUUGGGAGGAAGGGCUGCAAGUUAAUACCUUGUAGUUUUGACGUUACCAACAGAAUAAGCACCGGCUAACUUCGUGCCAGCAGCCGCGGUAAUACGAAGGGUGCAAGCGUUAAUCGGAAUUACUGGGCGUAAAGCGCGCGUAGGUGGUUUGGUAAGAUGGAUGUGAAAUCCCCGGGCUCAACCUGGGAACUGCAUCCAAAACUGGCGAGCUAGAGUAUGGCAGAGGGUGGUGGAAUUUCCUGUGUAGCGGUGAAAUGCGUAGAGAUCAGGAGGAACAUCCAUGGCGAAGGCAGCUACCUGGACCAACACUGACACUGAGGCACGAAAGCGUGGGGAGCAAACA
This 426-nucleotide ribosomal RNA is filed under the name uncultured Pseudomonas sp. Its description in RNAcentral is "bacterial SSU rRNA". It matches the Rfam family "Bacterial small subunit ribosomal RNA", at positions 356 to 774 of the family's 1533-position model. The record is from RNAcentral. Lineage: Bacteria; Pseudomonadati; Pseudomonadota; Gammaproteobacteria; Pseudomonadales; Pseudomonadaceae.